GCUGGCGGCAGGCUUACACAUGCAAGUCGAGCGCCCCGCAAGGGGAGCGGCAGACGUCUGAGUAACGCGUGGGAAUCUACCUAGCUCUACGGAAUAGCUCCGGGAAACUGGAAUUAAUACCGUAUACGUCCUUCGGGAGAAAGAUUUAUCGGAGUUGGAUGAGCCCGCGUUGGAUUAGCUAGUUGGUGGGGUAAUGGCCUACCAAGGCGACGAUCCAUAGCUGGUCUGAGAGGAUGAUCAGCCACACUGGGACUGAGACACGGCCCAGACUCCUACGGGAGGCAGCAGUGGGGAAUAUUGGACAAUGGGCGAAAGCCUGAUCCAGCCAUGCCGCGUGAGUGAUGAAGGCCCUAGGGUUGUAAAGCUCUUUCAACGGUGAAGAUAAUGACGGUAACCGUAGAAGAAGCCCCGGCUAACUUCGUGCCAGCAGCCGCGGUAAUACGAAGGGGGCUAGCGUUGUUCGGAAUUACUGGGCGUAAAGCGCACGUAGGCGGAUACUUAAGUCAGGGGUGAAAUCCCGGGGCUCAACCCCGGGAACUGCCCUUUGAUACUGGGGUAUCUCGAGUCCCGCAGAAGUGAGUGGAAUUCCCGAGUGGUACAGGUGAAAUUCGUAAAUAUUCCGAAGAACACCAGUGGCGAA
Molecule: ribosomal RNA, 640 nt
Filed under: uncultured bacterium
Lineage: Bacteria
Description: bacterial SSU rRNA
Rfam family: Bacterial small subunit ribosomal RNA
Source: RNAcentral